Molecule: long non-coding RNA, 641 nt
Filed under: Androctonus crassicauda
Lineage: Eukaryota; Metazoa; Arthropoda; Arachnida; Scorpiones; Buthidae
Source: RNAcentral
CUUAACCUAAAUAGAAUAAAAUGUUUGUCUUUUUCUCAAUAAUAAUAAUAAUAAUAAUAAUCUUCUUCUUCAACCAUUUUCAGUCCAUUGCUGGACAAAGAUCUUCCCAAAUUCUUCCAUCUUUCUCUGUCCAUAGCUUCUGUCAUCCAAUCUUUAUCAGUGAUUUCCACAUCUUUUCCUUAGUCUUCCUCUAAUCCUUCUGCCAUCUUACCAUGUCCAUUCCGUGAUGAAUUUGUUCAUCUGUUCUCCCAUAUCUGGAAAUAUGGCCACUCCAUUGCCUUUUAGAGUGUUUUAUAUAAAUUAUGUCUUUACAGCUGCUUUUGUUUGAACUGUCUUUAAAUGUCACUCCUUAUGCUUCUCUGGGUCAUCCUCAAUUUUUAUAUCAUUCAUUCAUUCAAAGUCCAGAUUUCAGAUCCAUAAGUCAAAAUAGUGAAUGCAUUGGUCCGAAGGCUUUUCUCUUCAAACCUAGAGAAGUGUCUUCCUUGAAAAUUUCUUUCAAUAUUCCAAAUGCUAUCCAUCCUAUUGUAUUCUUCUCUUAAUUUUUUUUUUCUUUCCAUCACUAAUCUUAAUGGUCUGUUCUAAAUAUACAUAAGAGUUCUCACUAUUUUGAUUUAUUUUACAUAAAUUAUAAAUUCUUUUAA